Molecule: long non-coding RNA, 573 nt
Organism: Strongylocentrotus purpuratus (purple sea urchin)
Lineage: Eukaryota; Metazoa; Echinodermata; Echinoidea; Camarodonta; Strongylocentrotidae
Exons: 3
Source: RefSeq, a predicted model, not a curated record
GACUUGGAAUCUGCUUUCUAUAGCGGGUUCUGGUGUUGUGCAUCUGAACAAAGAGUUUCAAUACUGUUAUGUAUGAAUGAAUGUAUUACUAUGGCGACCUUUAUUUACCAUAAAGGCGUUUGCUCUGCUUUGCUUAACGUUACGGAAAUGAUUUGCAGGAAUUUCUUCCUAGUUGCAUGUUGGUAUCAUUGCAAACAAUUACUUAUUCCAGUCUAGACUGCUGCGACAAGCUUGGUGCUAAACGUCAGUGUUCAAAUUGACAGAUUGACAAUAUGCGGUGUUGAGGUGUUUCUAUAAUCGCUAUUUAAUUGAUGAUUCCCUGACUCACGAUGUCUGCUUCAUCCACAAUCUAGAAACACGAAGAUAUUUUAAAGAUGAUUAUGACAAGAGGCGCAUGGAGUAACAACCCGCAUGGAAGCCCUACAGAGCGCCCCCUAUAGUGCAAACCUUCCACCGGACCAACGUCCAGCCAUGAAUAUACCCAAUGUCAACGAUGGAAGGGGUCUGGACAUCUGGCCCACCCCUGCCAAUUCCACUUACGGCAGAGUGGGGUAAGUUGUGUUACUUUACAUC